Long non-coding RNA from Coccinella septempunctata (seven-spotted ladybird), 1992 nucleotides. RefSeq lists it as uncharacterized. Lineage: Eukaryota; Metazoa; Arthropoda; Insecta; Coleoptera; Coccinellidae. The transcript has 2 exons. The record is from RefSeq and is a predicted model, not a curated record.
UAAGACGUAGGGAUGUCAGAUUCCGAGUGGGAGACAGGGUUUGGAAGAAGAAUUUUAUGUUAUCCAAUGCAGCUAAUGAUUUUUCCUCUAAAUUAGCACCUAAGUAUAUUCCUUGUGUUGUUCAUAGAGUUCUUUCACCCUUGGUAUACAAUUUGAGGGAUCUCAAUGGAAAUGACUUGGGUAAUUUUCAUGUUAGCCAUUUGAAGUUAGAUAUUAGUGAUAGUGGCACUGAUGAUCAGAACGACAAUUAUUAGUACCUAAUAUAAUUUUCAUUUUUUUUAAUUAGUUCAUAUUUUUUGUGUGUUGAGGUCAUUUAUUUGAUUUUCAGCUUAGUGUUUUAUUUUUUUUAUUUUUGAAUUUUCUCAAUUGAUAAACUUGGACGGACAGAUUUAGCUGGGGCUCUCAGUUAAAUAUUGAAUUCCCAGAUUUUCGGUUAUUUUGGCGUAGAGAUUAUGCAUUGAGUAUGUAAGUGAGUUUAUAACUUGCAUAAAUAUUCUGUCUGUCCGAAAUUUGUCAGAAGCGAUUGAUUACUAUUCAGUGUAUUUUUGGAUAGAUUUUUCAGCUGCUUUUGUUUAAAUUCACAAUAUUUUCAGAUUUUCUCGUUUUGUAAUUGAUUCGAAUAGAUUAGCUCCAAUAAUUUUACCUUAUGUAGUAUUUUGAGUGUGAGAUAGUAUCUCACUGGCGCCCAACUUUAGUUUUUUUUUUUUUGUUCUUUCUACCUUUUAAUGUCGUUCGGAUCUGAUGUCCUAUUUUGUCGUGGGUUAUAAAUUAUAAUGAAAAGGGAGGUAGGGAGGAGAGUCAGGUUGGUUGUGUAUAGUUUCUUGAAGCUAUAUACUGCCAACCUUGAACUGUUCACUGAGUGGUUAAUUUUAGAACUUUUUCAAACCAAAUUAAAGAAGAACCGUAGAACUGUUCUCUUUUUAGCUACUCAUAUCAUUGAGAGGUAUCCAUCAUGAAAUAUCCUUGAAUUAUUUGUGAUUCGUUGUUGUAAUUGUAUAUUUUGUUCAGAAAUCUGGUGUGGGGACAAAUAUCUUUUAUAUAUUGUAAUGCCCAUAAGUAAUAUAUUUUUUUAUUUGGACUGAAGAGGAUACAGACACAAACUUCCUGUAGCGCACUGUCCAAUAGGUUUGCUGACCAUCUAGCAUUCCAUUAAUUUCUAUUUCAAUAUUUAAAAAUUAAUUAAAAUUUUUUCCACUUUCAGGGUUUUAUGCACUGAUUUUUUUUUUUUUUUUUUUGGUGGGUAGAGGAGAUGUGUAACGAUACGAUCGUUACAAUUUUUUCUUUUUGAAAUUCAAAUUUAUUCAUUACAUAUUUGUUGUACCGCCACUGCAUUUGUACGUGUAUCGAAGAAUUCAGAUUUGCAGAUGGGCGCAUGUUUUCAAUCUGAUAAGAUAUUAAUCGGUUAUUCGAAGAUUUUAUUCUUUCUUUUCUGCUUUGUCUGGUGAAUGAAAUAAGUCAUCAGAGUUGAGUUCUUGAUAUAGAUAUUUUUUGGUAUUAAAUUUUGAGAUUUAGUUAGUAUUUCAUAGUUUCUAUUGGUUUAGUGAAACUCAAUUAAAAAUUGAGUUUUUGGGUGAAGCCCAGAUUUUCGAUUUAUAUUUCCAAGUUGAACUUCGUUGACCAACAUCCAACUUCGAAGAAUCAAUCACACCUGAAAACUGUGGUGAUCAGAACCUGGAAAUCCUUAUAUGGUGCUGUGUACAGUAUCGUACCAAAUCAGAUGGUUCUUCCUGCAUAGGAGCACUUCACCUGGAUUUUAAUUGCUAAUGGAAGUAUUCUGUUAUAUAUUUUGUUAUUUCAUUCGAUAUCCAAUUUAUAUAAUUUCGUAUGCUCUAUUUCAUUUUGCAUUUGAGAUAUUGCGCUUCGAAGCUAUUCAUAAUAAUUUUCAUUGUUUAAAUCCAAUUGUAAGCAGCUAUUUUUCAAUAUUUCACUCUUAACUUUUUAUUCUAAUUUGAGCAAUUUAGUCUAUCUUAUUAAUAAAUCUCUGAAAGUGGA